AACGCUAGCUACAGGCUUAACACAUGCAAGUCGAGGGGCAGCAUGGUCUUAGCUUGCUAAGGCCGAUGGCGACCGGCGCACGGGUGAGUAACACGUAUCCAACCUGCCGUCUACUCUUGGACAGCCUUCUGGAAGGAAGAUUAAUACAAGAUGGCAUCAUGAGUCCGCAUGUUCACAUGAUUAAAGGUAUUCCGGUAGACGAUGGGGAUGCGUUCCAUUAGAUAGUAGGCGGGGUAACGGCCCACCUGGUCUUCGAUGGAUAGGGGUUCUGAGAGGAAGGUCCCCCACAUUGGAACUGAGACACGGUCCAAACUCCUACGGGAGGCAGCAGUGAGGAAUAUUGGUCAAUGGGCGAGAGCCUGAACCAGCCAAGUAGCGUGAAGGCUGACUGCCCUAUGGGUUGUAAACUUCUUUUAUAAAGGAAUAAAGUCGGGUAUGCAUACCCGUUUGCAUGUACUUUAUGAAUAAGGAUCGGCUAACUCCGUGCCAGCAGCCGCGGUAAUACGGAGGAUCCGAGCGUUAUCCGGAUUUAUUGGGUUUAAAGGGAGCGUAGAUGGAUGUUUAAGUCAGUUGUGAAAGUUUGCGGCUCAACCGUAAAAUUGCAGUUGAUACUGGAUAUCUUGAGUGCAGUUGAGGCAGGCGGAAUUCGUGGUGUAGCGGUGAAAUGCUUAGAUAUCACGAAGAACUCCGAUUG
Molecule: ribosomal RNA, 694 nt
Filed under: uncultured bacterium
Lineage: Bacteria
Description: bacterial SSU rRNA
Rfam family: Bacterial small subunit ribosomal RNA
Source: RNAcentral